UGGGGAAUCAUGGUCAAUGGGCGAAAGCCUGAACCUGCGACGCCGCGUGAGUGAUGAAGGUCGUAAGAUCGUAAAACUCUUUUCAGGGAUCUUAAAGCACAACCGUCAACAACGGCUGUGUGUGACUCUCCCUGGAAGAAGCCCCAGCCAACUACGUGCCAGCAGCUGCGGUACUACGUAGGGGGCGAGCGUUAUUCGGAAUUACUGGGUGUAAAGGGUAUGUAGGCGGCCCUUCAAGUCGCGUGUCAAAGUCCAGUGCGCAACGCGGGGUGUGC
RNAcentral lists this ribosomal RNA (275 nucleotides) under uncultured prokaryote. RNAcentral describes it as "partial 16S ribosomal RNA". It matches the Rfam family "Bacterial small subunit ribosomal RNA", at positions 355 to 624 of the family's 1533-position model. The record is from RNAcentral.